UUAAGCGACUAAGCGUACACGGUGGAUGCCCUGGCAGUCAGAGGCGAUGAAGGGCGUGCUAAUCUGCGAUAAGCGCCGGUAAGGUGAUAUGAACCGUUAUAACCGGCGAUACCCGAAUGGGGAAACCCAGUGUGACUCGUCACACUAUCAUUAACUGAAUCCAUAGGUUAAUGAGGCGAACCGGGGGAACUGAAACAUCUAAGUACCCCGAGGAAAAGAAAUCAACCGAGAUUCCCCCAGUAGCGGCGAGCGAACGGGGAGGAGCCCAGAGCCUGAAUCAGCAUGUGUGUUAGUGGAAGCGUCUGGAAAGGCGCGCGAUACAGGGUGACAGCCCCGUACACAAAAGCGCAUGUGCUGUGAGCUCGAUGAGUAGGGCGGGACACGUGGUAUCCUGUCUGAAUAUGGGGGGACCAUCCUCCAAGGCUAAAUACUCCUGACUGACCGAUAGUGAACCAGUACCGUGAGGGAAAGGCGAAAAGAACCCCGGCGAGGGGAGUGAAAAAGAACCUGAAACCGUGUACGUACAAGCAGUGGGAGCACAGGUUUACCUGUGUGACUGCGUACCUUUUGUAUAAUGGGUCAGCGACUUAUAUUCUGUAGCAAGGUUAACCGAAUAGGGGAGCCGGAGGGAAACCGAGUCUUAAUUGGGCGUUAAGUUGCAGGGUAUAGACCCGAAACCCGGUGAUCUAGCCAUGGGCAGGUUGAAGGUUGGGUAACACUAACUGGAGGACCGAACCGACUAAUGUUGAAAAAUUAGCGGAUGACCUGUGGCUGGGGGUGAAAGGCCAAUCAAACCGGGAGAUAGCUGGUUCUCCCCGAAAGCUAUUUAGGUAGCGCCUCGUGAAUUCAUCUCCGGGGGUAGAGCACUGUUUCGGCUAGGGGGCCAUCCCGGCUUACCAACCCGAUGCAAACUGCGAAUACCGGAGAAUGUUAUCACGGGAGACACACGGCGGGUGCUAACGUCCGUCGUGAAGAGGGAAACAACCCAGACCGCCAGCUAAGGUCCCAAAGUCAUGGUUAAGUGGGAAACGAUGUGGGAAGGCCCAGACAGCCAGGAUGUUGGCUUAGAAGCAGCCAUCAUUUAAAGAAAGCGUAAUAGCUCACUGGUCGAGUCGGCCUGCGCGGAAGAUGUAACGGGGCUAAACCAUGCACCGAAGCUGCGGCAGCGACGCUUAUGCGUUGUUGGGUAGGGGAGCGUUCUGUAAGCCUGUGAAGGUGGCCUGUGAGGGUUGCUGGAGGUAUCAGAAGUGCGAAUGCUGACAUAAGUAACGAUAAAGCGGGUGAAAAGCCCGCUCGCCGGAAGACCAAGGGUUCCUGUCCAACGUUAAUCGGGGCAGGGUGAGUCGACCCCUAAGGCGAGGCCGAAAGGCGUAGUCGAUGGGAAACGGGUUAAUAUUCCCGUACUUGGUGUUACUGCGAAGGGGGGACGGAGAAGGCUAUGUUGGCCGGGCGACGGUUGUCCCGGUUUAAGCGUGUAGGUGUGUGUUCCAGGUAAAUCCGGUUCACUUUAACACUGAGGCGUGAUGACGAGGCACUACGGUGCUGAAGCAACAAAUGCCCUGCUUCCAGGAAAAGCCUCUAAGCAUCAGGUAACAUCAAAUCGUACCCCAAACCGACACAGGUGGUCAGGUAGAGAAUACCAAGGCGCUUGAGAGAACUCGGGUGAAGGAACUAGGCAAAAUGGUGCCGUAACUUCGGGAGAAGGCACGCUGANNNGUAGGUGAAGUGAUUUACUCAUGGAGCUGAAGUCAGUCGAAGAUACCAGCUGGCUGCAACUGUUUAUUAAAAACACAGCACUGUGCAAACACGAAAGUGGACGUAUACGGUGUGACGCCUGCCCGGUGCCGGAAGGUUAAUUGAUGGGGUCAGCGCAAGCGAAGCUCCUGAUCGAAGCCCCGGUAAACGGCGGCCGUAACUAUAACGGUCCUAAGGUAGCGAAAUUCCUUGUCGGGUAAGUUCCGACCUGCACGAAUGGCGUAAUGAUGGCCAGGCUGUCUCCACCCGAGACUCAGUGAAAUUGAACUCGCUGUGAAGAUGCAGUGUACCCGCGGCAAGACGGAAAGACCCCGUGAACCUUUACUAUAGCUUGACACUGAACAUUGAGCCUUGAUGUGUAGGAUAGGUGGGAGGCUUUGAAGCGUGGACGCCAGUCUGCGUGGAGCCGACCUUGAAAUACCACCCUUUAAUGUUUGAUGUUCUAACGUGGACCCGUAAUCCGGGUUGCGGACAGUGUCUGGUGGGUAGUUUGACUGGGGCGGUCUCCUCCUAAAGAGUAACGGAGGAGCACGAAGGUUGGCUAAUCCUGGUCGGACAUCAGGAGGUUAGUGCAAUGGCAUAAGCCAGCUUGACUGCGAGCGUGACGGCGCGAGCAGGUGCGAAAGCAGGUCAUAGUGAUCCGGUGGUUCUGAAUGGAAGGGCCAUCGCUCAACGGAUAAAAGGUACUCCGGGGAUAACAGGCUGAUACCGCCCAAGAGUUCAUAUCGACGGCGGUGUUUGGCACCUCGAUGUCGGCUCAUCACAUCCUGGGGCUGAAGUAGGUCCCAAGGGUAUGGCUGUUCGCCAUUUAAAGUGGUACGCGAGCUGGGUUUAGAACGUCGUGAGACAGUUCGGUCCCUAUCUGCCGUGGGCGCUGGAGAACUGAGGGGGGCUGCUCCUAGUACGAGAGGACCGGAGUGGACGCAUCACUGGUGUUCGGGUUGUCAUGCCAAUGGCACUGCCCGGUAGCUAAAUGCGGAAGAGAUAAGUGCUGAAAGCAUCUAAGNGUCUCCUGAAGGAACGUUGAAGACGACGACGUUGAUAGGCCGGGUGUGUAAGCGCAGCGAUGCGUUGAGCUAACCGGUACUAAUGAACCGUGAGGCUUAACCUU
RNAcentral lists this ribosomal RNA (2866 nucleotides) under Salmonella enterica subsp. enterica serovar Weltevreden. RNAcentral's name for it is "bacterial LSU rRNA". It matches the Rfam family "Bacterial large subunit ribosomal RNA". Lineage: Bacteria; Pseudomonadati; Pseudomonadota; Gammaproteobacteria; Enterobacterales; Enterobacteriaceae. The record is from RNAcentral.